Molecule: long non-coding RNA, 255 nt
Filed under: Salvia miltiorrhiza (redroot sage)
Lineage: Eukaryota; Viridiplantae; Streptophyta; Magnoliopsida; Lamiales; Lamiaceae
Description: long non-coding RNA (SMIL_LNC005170)
Source: RNAcentral
CUAAAUCCAAAAGAUAUAUAAAGAUUCGCAUCGCAAGAGCGUUUCAAAUAAGUUUUGACCUCCCAAAUGCUGCCACUCUUGCGCAGCAGCCAAUACAAAACUGGGAUACAUAACAUAACAUAACAUAACAUAACAUAACAUAGGCCAACAACAAAAUUUAAUCAAUAUGGGGAACAAAAGUUGUAGUGAUAAGGUAGAGUUUACUUAGUUGGCAUCUACCAACUCCACAUCAAACACUAGCCAUGAAUUGGGAGG